Molecule: unclassified non-coding RNA, 1067 nt
Filed under: Hevea brasiliensis (rubber tree)
Lineage: Eukaryota; Viridiplantae; Streptophyta; Magnoliopsida; Malpighiales; Euphorbiaceae
Source: RNAcentral
GGAGGAUGCAAAAGUUACCAAAACAAAAACCAAACUGUUUUCUAUUUCAAAACACAAUACCUAUGUUUUGAUGCCAUAUUCUAAAAGUUGAAUUCACAAUAGUCAGAUGCAACAUUAUUCAUACUUUUGCAUGCUUGAUUGGUGCAAGUUAUUUAUUCUACUAAGUUCUUAAUAUAACAUAAUUAUAUUUCUGCUGCAGCUGUUGGACACCCGCAGCUACUUCUCCACCGCGAUCCGGCCUGAUUCCUCAAAACGUCCAUCCACUACUGGUUCCUGCAGCAGCCGUAUCCUCUGUGUUGACCGCAGGAUAUUCAUUUCUAUGGACUAAGCCUUGGACACCUAAGAGUUUUGCUUUUGAUUGUUGAAUCUGUUCCAUAUUACUCCUAAGGAACUGCUCAUAUGCUUCAGCUUCUUGGACAGAGCUGAUAUUCUCCACUUGCGGAUUGCAAUACCUUAUUUUCUGUUGUGCCUCCCUUAGUGUUUCUUUGAGCUCAUUAAGCUUCUUCUCAUGAGCCUCAGCAAUAGCUAUUUUUCCAACCAUUUGGCCUUCAGAUUUUGACUGUUUGAGACUCUGCAUCAAAAGCUGUUCAUUUAGAUUUGGUAUGGGUCGCGGAUUCACAGACUUGUUCAUAGCUUCGAUCAUGAUGUCCUCAAUACUUUCUUUGCUAGAAUAGGUAGUCAGUUGACCAGAUGGAGAAAACAUCAACAACCCCACAUCUGUACCACAUACAACCGCCAGCUCAUUUGACUUCUUCACAAUGCUAUCCUUGCGAUUUGAAUAGAACUGUUUACGGGAUGUUGAAUCCUCAAUUUUCUUCAUCACAAUCUUAUUGCGACCCAUGAGAAGAUGCAAACUAGAACUUGAUUUUGGUAGAUUGAAAUGAAAUCUUUUGGAUCCGUAGUACUCUACUUCGAAAAAAAUCGCUUGGAGAGAAGCAUGAAGUUAGCUUGGGAGCUUUUAGAUGAAAAAUUCUAAUAUUUUCGCCUUAGCUUUGGAGAUGAAAACAGCAGUGGAACUUUUUCCGAUCCACUGCAUGUGAGUUUUAGAGAGAAGCUUCUAGUUUAGU